GUGAGUAAUGUCUGGGAAACUGCCUGAUGGAGGGGGAUAACUACUGGAAACGGUAGCUAAUACCGCAUAACGUCGCAAGACCAAAGAGGGGGACCUUCGGGCCUCUUGCCAUCAGAUGUGCCCAGAUGGGAUUAGCUAGUAGGUGGGGUAACGGCUCACCUAGGCGACAAUCCCUAGCUGGUCUGAGAGGAUGACCAGCCACACUGGAACUGAGACACGGUCCAGACUCCUACGGGAGGCAGCAGUGGGGAAUAUUGCACAAUGGGCGCAAGCCUGAUGCAGCCAUGCCGCGUGUAUGAAAAAAGCCUUCGGGUUGUAAAGUACUUUCAGCGGGGAGGAAGGCGAUAAGGUUAAUAACCUCGUCGAUUGACGUUACCCGCAGAAAAAACACCGGCUAACUCCGUGCCAGCAGCCGCGGUAAUACGGAGGGUGCAAGCGUUAAUCGGAAUUACUGGGCGUAAAGCGCACGCAGGCGGUCUGUCAAGUCGGAUGUGAAAUCCCCGGGCUCAACCUGGGAACUGCAUU
RNAcentral lists this ribosomal RNA (525 nucleotides) under Enterobacter sp. UFLA81. RNAcentral's name for it is "bacterial SSU rRNA". It matches the Rfam family "Bacterial small subunit ribosomal RNA", at positions 106 to 627 of the family's 1533-position model. The record is from RNAcentral. Lineage: Bacteria; Pseudomonadati; Pseudomonadota; Gammaproteobacteria; Enterobacterales; Enterobacteriaceae.